UACGUAGGGUGCAAGCGUUGUCCGGAAUUAUUGGGCGUAAAGAGCUCGUAGGCGGUUUGUCGCGUCUGCUGUGAAAACUCGGGGCUUAACCCCGGGCCUGCAGUGGGUACGGGCAGACUAGAGUGCGGUAGGGGAGACUGGAAUUCCUGGUGUAGCGGUGAAAUGCGCAGAUAUCGGGAGGAACACCAGUGGCGAAGGCGGCACUCUGGGCCAGUAUUGACGCUGAGGAGCGAAAGCGUGGGGAUCGAACAGG
Molecule: ribosomal RNA, 253 nt
Filed under: uncultured bacterium
Lineage: Bacteria
Description: partial 16S ribosomal RNA
Rfam family: Bacterial small subunit ribosomal RNA
Source: RNAcentral